This 497-nucleotide ribosomal RNA is filed under the name uncultured bacterium. Its description in RNAcentral is "partial 16S ribosomal RNA". It matches the Rfam family "Bacterial small subunit ribosomal RNA", at positions 28 to 507 of the family's 1533-position model. The record is from RNAcentral.
GAUGAACGCUGGCGGCGUGCCUAAUACAUGCAAGUCGAGCGAACAGGCGAGGCGCUUGCUCCUUUCACGUUAGCGGCGGACGUGUGAGUAACACGUGGAUAAUCUACCUAUAAGACUGGGAUAACCUCGGGAAACCGGCGCUAAUCCCGGAUAAGAUGCUGAACCGCAUGGGUCAAUAGUGAAAGUCGGUGUUGCUGUAACUUAUAGAUGGAUCCGCGCCGCAUGAGCUAGUUGGUAAGGUAACGGCUUACCAAGGGUACGAGGCGUAACCGACCUGAGAGGGUGGUCGGCGACACGGGAGGGGAGACACGGACCAGGCGACUACGGGAGGCAGCAGUAGGGAAUCGUCCGCAGUGGGCGAAAGCAUGGCGGAGCAACGCGGCGUGAGUGAAGAAGGUCUUCGGAUCGUAAAACUCUGUUAUUAGGGAAGAACAAAUGUGUAAGUAGCUAUGCACGUCUUGACGGUACCUAAUCAGAAAGCCACGGCUAACUACGUG